GCCCGGGUGGCGGAAUUGGCAGACGCGGGGGAUUCAAAAUCCCCUUCUCUUCGGGGAGUGCGGGUUCAAGUCCCGCCCCGGGCA
RNAcentral lists this transfer RNA (84 nucleotides) under Acidimicrobiaceae bacterium. RNAcentral describes it as "tRNA-Leu". It matches the Rfam family "tRNA". From Rfam's summary of the family: Transfer RNA (tRNA) molecules are approximately 80 nucleotides in length. The record is from RNAcentral. Lineage: Bacteria; Bacillati; Actinomycetota; Acidimicrobiia; Acidimicrobiales; Acidimicrobiaceae. RNAcentral also lists the same sequence under 2 other names.